RNAcentral lists this RNase P RNA (406 nucleotides) under Xylanibacter ruminicola. Its description in RNAcentral is "RNase P RNA component class A". It matches the Rfam family "Bacterial RNase P class A". From Rfam's summary of the family: Ribonuclease P (RNase P) is a ubiquitous endoribonuclease, found in archaea, bacteria and eukarya as well as chloroplasts and mitochondria. Lineage: Bacteria; Pseudomonadati; Bacteroidota; Bacteroidia; Bacteroidales; Prevotellaceae. The record is from RNAcentral.
GCACUGCAACGGUUUGUCGCUGGCGCUUCUGAAAGGUCGCGCGAGAGGAAAGUCCGGGCAGCAUAGGGUGCUCCACUUCUGAAAGUAGAAGCUAUUGGUGACAGUAGGUGCCGGCAGAAGAGAAUGACCGCCCUCCGCUUUGACGUCAGUCAGAGUAAUGACCACAGGUCGGGAGGGUAAGGGUGAGAAGGUGGUGUAAGAGACCACCAGCCAGCGGGUGAUCGUUGGGCUGUGUCGACUGGAGGCUGCAAGUUCAUGUAAACCAUCGUCUGAGGGUUGCCCGCCCAACGACGCAAGUCACGAUGGAGGGUAGAACGCUUGAGCCAUGAGGUGACUUAUGGACUAGAUAAAUGACAAACGCCAUGCCAGCGUGGUACAGAACCCGGCUUAUAGGUGCAGUGCUUUU